Molecule: ribosomal RNA, 440 nt
Filed under: uncultured bacterium
Lineage: Bacteria
Description: partial 16S ribosomal RNA
Rfam family: Bacterial small subunit ribosomal RNA
Source: RNAcentral
CCUACGGGUGGCAGCAGUGGGGGAUAUUGCACAAUGGGGGCAACCCUGAUGCAGCGACGCCGCGUGGGUGAAGAAGCGCCUCGGCGCGUAAAGCUCUGUCAGCAGGGAAGUAAAUGACGGUACCUGAAGCAGAAGCCCCGGCUAACUACGUGCCAGCAGCCGCGGUAAUACGUAGGGGGCAAGCGUUAUCCGGAUUUACUGGGUGUAAAGGGGGCGCAGACGGCGAUGCAAGCCAGUAGUGAAAGCCCGGGGCCCAACCCCGGGACUGCUCUUGAAACUGCGUGGCUAGAGUGCAGGAGGGGUAGGCGGAAUUCGUGGUGUAGCGGUGAAAUGCGUAGAUAUCAGGAGGAACACCGGUGGCGAAGGCGGCCUGCUGGACUGCAACUGACGUUGAGGCCCGAAAGCGUGGGGAGCAAACAGGAUUAGAUACCCGAGUAGUC